CUGCGAGUCAAGCCACGCCUGGUGGCAAGAAUGCUUGGCCUUCAGUGUCAGCCAGGACGGUAAACACAUCUCCCUAAUGUUUCCCAGACCAGUUCGGGCCAUUUUGGGUGCUCGAGUACAACACCUCACACAAAUGACCGCGUCUUGAGGAAAAACCCGAGAGAUUAGUGGAGAAUUAAGAAGAAAGGAAGAAGGAAAGAGGACCACAUUGCAGAGUUUUUUGCAGGGAAGGGACAGUCGUUGAAAAAAAAAAAAAGCGCUGCUACAGUAUGUGAAAACAUUGGAUGGGAAAGGGAUGAAGGGGGAAUUCUAAGAAGUCUCAUGGGAAACUAAAUGUUUCUAUAGUGUUCAAAAUGUACAAAUAAAGUAUGCGGAAUAUUUUUAAAU
Molecule: long non-coding RNA, 387 nt
Filed under: Homo sapiens (human)
Lineage: Eukaryota; Metazoa; Chordata; Mammalia; Primates; Hominidae
Description: HSALNT0171892
Source: RNAcentral